RNAcentral lists this long non-coding RNA (1467 nucleotides) under Citrus x clementina. RNAcentral's name for it is "Citrus clementina (C. clementina) long non-coding RNA (CCLE_LNC004439)". Lineage: Eukaryota; Viridiplantae; Streptophyta; Magnoliopsida; Sapindales; Rutaceae. The record is from RNAcentral.
UAGGAUCCUUUUUUUAUUAUUGUCAACAUUCAAGAAUUAAAGGCCCUUUUAUGUUUCUUUGAGUAUUGAAAUUGUAAGAAUAAAAAGAAGUCUCAUAAAAAAAGUUCACCUAAGGCCCUAAAUACUAUAAAGCCAGUCUAAUAAGCUUAAUCAAAUUUCGUAUGCUUGAAGGAAUAUUUCCCUUAAUAAUGUUGAAACUCGAGUCCAUCAACUCUAGCUUCGAUAAGUUGAAGUAAGAAUUUGGGAUGGGACUAGUGAAAUUGCCAUUACGAAGACUCAAUAUUCAGGGUGUCUUUACUUGAGGGUUUAGGGAAUGAAAAUGAAGAAAUGAGAAUGAAACUCAUAUUUUCUUGGCAAAAUAUAAUUUAGGAAUGAGAAUAAUUUGGGAAUAAGGAAUGAGAAUCACAUUCCCAUGGAGGGUUGGGAAUGGGGAUUCCCAUUCCUUGAACUGUCUUUUGUAUCCCUCUAAUUUUUUUAUAUUUUCUAAAUUACCUUCGUUCAAAUCACAAUUUAUUUUAUUAUUUUAAAUGUCAUUAUUAUUAUUAAUAACUUAUUAUUUUAUUUUUUAUUAAUUAUUGUUAUUUUUAUUUUUAUUAAUAUUAUCAUUAUUAACAUUUAUUAUUAUUAUUUUAAUUAAUAUCAUUUUUAUAAUAAUAUUUAUACAUGUAUCUAAUUAAUGAAAAUUACAUUAUUUAAUAUUAUGGAUAUUUUGGUAAAUUGAUUCUCAUUCACAUUCCUAAUUCCUAUUUAUUUUGUCAAGUAAACAUUAGAAUUUCAUUCUCAUUCCAGCUCAUUUCUAUUUUCAACCCAUUCUCAUUGUACUCCAUUCUCAUUCCAUGAAAUAAAUACACCAUCAGAAUUUGGAUACGAUAUCCGUUCAAGAUGAAAAGUUUAGAUUUAAUUUGUUUCUAGUGAAACUUAUGAUUCGAAAACGGCAUAAUUGCCACAAUUCGUUGGACAGAUGACCAUAGAAAUUGUUAUGACUAUUAUUAAGAUACAUUAAGAAUGAGAAAUUUCCUAAGUGCGGGGGAAUUGCGCCUUGAGGACCCAUAACGGACAAAUCCAAGGCCGUAACUCUAUUAUGACCAGCACCGUAGAAACUCCAACUAACUACAAAGUGCGUAUGAAGUAUGAAUAGGCUCGAGUCCAUUUGUUAGCUAGAACGGCCUACAGCCCAUCUAAUAUUUAGGAAAAAUUUCAAUUUUAUUUUAAAAAAUACCAUUAUAUGUAACUGCUGCUGUUAUCUUUACAAGUUUGCCACUUAUAAGUUUGCCAUUCCAUAUAAACUUAAAAACAAGUCAUAUAAAUUUAAUCCGAAAUCUAAUAACUCGUCAAACUUAGGGAUAGUAAUGGAGCAAAUAUGGAUUGGAUCUACAUUGCUCUAAAUUCAGAUCCAUAAUAAAAAUUAAGAUCCGUAGUUGCUCCAGAUCUAUCAUGGAUCUAUAUUUUUCGUUUCAUAUCCAGAUA